Long non-coding RNA from Homo sapiens (human), 1269 nucleotides. RefSeq lists it as uncharacterized. The record is from RefSeq and is a predicted model, not a curated record. The transcript is spliced from 2 exons. NCBI's taxonomy places the organism in Eukaryota, Metazoa, Chordata, Mammalia, Primates, Hominidae.
AGGUGCAGAAACAUCUCAGCGCGAGGUGCCCGGGCUCCACAGAGAGCAGGAGGCUUCCAUCCACCCUUUCCAUCGCAACGCGGGAGCCCCCUCCUCAGAACCUACAUAAGGCACCGAAGCGCAGCCCAGUACGCGCGGGGACCCAUCUGGCCCAGCCCCAGGAAAGCAGCCACCGAGGGCAGACGCGCGCCUUACCUGCUACCAAGAGAUCAGCUGUCUAAACAGCAGCUUUUUUGAUUGUUGGGCUUCCUGAAAGAAACCUUGCUGACAGCUUCUCACUGACCUGCAGGACGGAACCGUACCUGAGAGGGGAUGGGGGCUCUCUCACAAAAGAAUAUUUGGGGCAGAACCCUGGAACUGGCCACCAGGGACAUCCCAAAUAUCCCCUCCUCCUCAGGGCUCACCCCGACAUCCUCAGCCAAAUGAAGGCUCUGAACCCAGCCAUCAGCUCGCAAGGCACAACUCACUUUGCAGGCUAAUCAAAAUGCUUUCUGAAGAAAAGAAAACUAAUUAUCCCACGGCUCUAUUUUUUGUUGUCGUUCUGUUUGAAAUAACUAUGAAGUCUUCACUCUGCCUAACACUAGGCCCCAACCCGCUGUUUCUUUCCACUUUUCAUCUUGCAAAACCAGUGCCUCCAACCUCUCUGGGGCUCACACAUCCCAUCAAUUUAUCAGGGACACAGUAGCAUGUUUAACCCUUUAGCCCUAGGCAGAAGUUCAUCCAGGGGAGUGGGAAAGUAGAGGCUGCUAUUCUGUACUGCUUUUAUUGGGGGGUGCUGGCAGUGGUUAGUUUGAAAAACGUUUGCUGUACGUUGCAUCAGAGGUCACAUUCAUGGGACAAGCUUUGAUUAACAAAUAAUAUAAGAAUUCCCUCUUUUCUUCUCUUACUUCCUACCUGCCUUUAUUUAUUUAUUUUUGCAUUCACAAAACUAAAGAGAAAGUCACUCCACAGAACACGAAUGGAAUAAAAGGCCAACCAUUCUACCUUUCCAAUCCUCACUCUCCCUUUCCCAUUCUUUACUGUUGCGUCAAGCAAUCUGCUGUACGGACGGGUUCGCACUGCUUUCCUUUAUUUUUUUUUCUCUUGCUGGCAUUAGAAAAGCCUGUAAAUAACCCAAGAAGAGGAGAGAAUUUUUUCCUUCAGCUCAUUUUCAUAAGAAACAUGAUACAUAAUACAUGGCACUUUAAUAAGACUUUAUCUGAACGGUUUAAUGAAAAACAAAUACAUUAUGUAAAGACCCAAUAAAUGCUCUUGGCUGCACUAAGGCAA